GGACGAACGCUGGCGGCGUGCCUAAUACAUGCAAGUCGAACGGUCUUUCUAUGGAAGCUUGCUUCCACUGAGAAGAUAGUGGCGAACGGGUGAGUAACACGUGGGUAACCUGCCCAUAAGAGGGGGAUAACAUCCGGAAACGGGUGCUAAUACCGCAUAGUUUUCCUGAUCGCAUGAUCGGGAAAGGAAAGACGGCCUUUGUGCUGUCGCUUAUGGAUGGACCCGCGGCGUAUUAGUUAGUUGGUGAGGUAACGGCUCACCAAGACGAUGAUACGUAGCCGACCUGAGAGGGUGAUCGGCCACAUUGGGACUGAGACACGGCCCAAACUCCUACGGGAGGCAGCAGUAGGGAAUCUUCCGCAGUGGACGAAAGUCUGACGGAGCAACGCCGCGUGAGUGAAAGAAGGUUUUCGGAUCGUAAAACUCUGUUGUCAGAGAAGAACAAGUUGGAGAGUAACUGCUCCAGCCUUGACGGUAUCUGACCAGAAAGCCACGGCUAACUACGUGCCAGCCGCCGC
This 518-nucleotide ribosomal RNA is filed under the name uncultured bacterium. Its description in RNAcentral is "bacterial SSU rRNA". It matches the Rfam family "Bacterial small subunit ribosomal RNA", at positions 27 to 518 of the family's 1533-position model. The record is from RNAcentral.